UACGGAAGGCAGCAGGGGGAAGUAUUGCACAAUGGGCGCAAGCCUGAUGCAGCCAUGCCGCGUGUAUGAAGAAGGCCUUCGGGUUGUAAAGUACUUUCAGUCGUGAGGAAGGUGUUAAGGUUAAUAACCUUAGCAAUUGACGUUAGCGACAGAAGAAGCACCGGCUAACUCCGUGCCAGCAGCCGCGGUAAUACGGAGGGUGCGAGCGUUAAUCGGAAUUACUGGGCGUAAAGGGCACGCAGGCGGUUAAUUAAGUUGGAUGUGAAAUCCCCGGGCUUAACCUGGGAAUGGCAUUCAAGACUGGUUAGCUAGAGUCUUGUAGAGGGGGUAGAAUUCCAUGUGUAGCGGUGAAAUGCGUAGAGAUGUGGAGGAAUACCGGUGGCGAAGGCGGCCCCUGGACAAAGACUGACGCUCAUGUGCGAAAGCGUGGGGAGCAAACAGGGAUUAGAUACC
RNAcentral lists this ribosomal RNA (453 nucleotides) under uncultured bacterium. RNAcentral describes it as "bacterial SSU rRNA". It matches the Rfam family "Bacterial small subunit ribosomal RNA", at positions 340 to 786 of the family's 1533-position model. The record is from RNAcentral.